Molecule: long non-coding RNA, 270 nt
Organism: Ctenocephalides felis (cat flea)
Lineage: Eukaryota; Metazoa; Arthropoda; Insecta; Siphonaptera; Pulicidae
Exons: 3
Source: RefSeq, a predicted model, not a curated record
UUCGCGUAAAACAAAGUGUGUGCAAGUUUCAACUCAAUUUGACUCUGUGCAAUUUUGUGGAGAAAUGCUGUCAUCCAUGCAGUUUUAGGGAUACCUUUGGGUGCUAUCUGUUUGAACAAACUUUUUGGAAAUCUACUAGAUUUUACGAUUUGUCGGGUGAGCUAGCCGCUAGGAGACUCAUAACUCUCAGUCAGGAAGUAGCCCAGUUGACACUUUUUACGUUGAUCAGGCGCCAACGCAGCCUGGGACAUUGCUGGUGGACCCUCGAAC